UACGUAGGGUGCAAGCGUUAAUCGGAAUUACUGGGCGUAAAGCGUGCGCAGGCGGUUCGCUAAGACAGAUGUGAAAUCCCCGGGCUUAACCUGGGAACUGCAUUUGUGACUGGCGGGCUAGAGUAUGGCAGAGGGGGGUAGAAUUCCACGUGUAGCAGUGAAAUGCGUAGAGAUGUGGAGAAAUACCGAUGGCGAAGGCAGCCCCCUGGGCCAAUACUGACGCUCAUGCACGAAAGCGUGGGGAGCAAACAGG
This 253-nucleotide ribosomal RNA is filed under the name uncultured bacterium. RNAcentral describes it as "partial 16S ribosomal RNA". It matches the Rfam family "Bacterial small subunit ribosomal RNA", at positions 524 to 776 of the family's 1533-position model. The record is from RNAcentral.